This 652-nucleotide long non-coding RNA is filed under the name Helianthus annuus (common sunflower). The record is from RNAcentral. Lineage: Eukaryota; Viridiplantae; Streptophyta; Magnoliopsida; Asterales; Asteraceae.
UUUUUGAUCUUGAUAAAAAACAGAGCUAACCCAUAUCAUGAUUUCUCAAUGCUUCUUAUUCCCCAUCUCAAUUUUUGAUCUUGAUAAAAAAAAACAGAGCUAACCCGGCGAAGGCACAGCGGCAGCAGAGGUGGAACCACCCAAAACCACCCUGCACCACCACCGCCGCAACCACCACAGUCGGAGAUCAACGCCAAUCGAUACGUAUUCGUCGCAGCCACACCCUACCCUUCCCAAUACCCUAACCCUAACCCUAAUUCAUCUGCCCCUCAUCCCCCUUAUUACCAAUACCCCACCGGAGCAUACUACCCGCCGCCGCCGCCGACAGAACCGUUACCUGCUCUGUACAAUCACCACCACCGUGUGCCGGUGGACCCUGCCGCUCAGGCGAUGGUGGGUGGGAGGUACCCUUGUGGGUCUGUGAUGCACUCGCCUACACCUUAUGUUGAUCACCAAAAGGCGUUACUAUUAGGAAUAAUGUUAAUCUCAAGAAAGAAACUUUGAAAGUUGAACCUGAUGAACAACACCCUGGGAAGUUUCUUGUUGUUUUUACUUAUGAUGCUACUGUUGCUGGCAGAUUGAAAAGUUGAACUUAGUUAUCAAGGAGCUCGUUAAGGAAAAUGAUGAAGAAAAAGAAAGGUUAAAUGGAAUU